RNA transcript from Arabidopsis thaliana (thale cress), 326 nucleotides. RefSeq lists it as uncharacterized. Lineage: Eukaryota; Viridiplantae; Streptophyta; Magnoliopsida; Brassicales; Brassicaceae. The record is from RefSeq. The transcript is spliced from 2 exons.
AUGUACUAUGCAUUCACAAACCAUGUCGUACUAUAUAAAAAUAUACAUUGACGACACAAAUCAAAUAAGUAUAUAGAUUUUAGUAUGUAUUUAUCUUGAAAUAUAUGGAAAACAACCAUGUCGUACUGCACAAAAUAAUUUGAUGGAAACAAAUUAUCAUACAUACAAAGCAAUGGCCAGAAUAUCCCAAACAUUAGCUCACCGUCAAUUUAAACACAAUUAUCCUGGAGAUAAUCAUAAUUCUAAUCCCUAUUGUGGUGUUUUAAAAUUCUCAUGUUGAUUUUGUCUAAAAGCAGCACUUUUGCUAUCAUAUAAACAUAUUUAAG